AGACUGAACGCUGGCGGCAUGCCUAACACAUGCAAGUCGAACGGCAGCACAGCCCCGCAAGGGGUGGGUGGCGAGUGGCGGACGGGUGAGGAAUACAUCGGAAUCAGCCCUGUUGUGGGGGAUAACCCAUCGAAAGGUGGGCUAAUACCGCAUGAGACGGAGACGUGAAAGCGGGGGACCUGUGAGGGCCUCGCGCGACGGGAUGAGCCGAUGUCGGAUUAGCUAGUUGGUAGGGUAAAGGCCUACCAAGGCGACGAUCCGUAGCUGGUCUGAGAGGAUGAUCAGCCACACUGGGACUGAGACACGGCCCAGACUCCUACGGGAGCAGCAGUGGGGAAUAUUGGACAAUGGGCGCAAGCCUGAUCCAGCAAUGCCGCGUGUGUGAAGAAGGCCUCGG
RNAcentral lists this ribosomal RNA (397 nucleotides) under uncultured soil bacterium. Its description in RNAcentral is "bacterial SSU rRNA". It matches the Rfam family "Bacterial small subunit ribosomal RNA", at positions 26 to 420 of the family's 1533-position model. The record is from RNAcentral.